RNAcentral lists this non-coding RNA (30 nucleotides) under Rattus norvegicus (Norway rat). The record is from RNAcentral. Lineage: Eukaryota; Metazoa; Chordata; Mammalia; Rodentia; Muridae.
UGAAUUCCUUGAUGCCUUCGUCCUUUGGGA